RNAcentral lists this ribosomal RNA (445 nucleotides) under uncultured bacterium. Its description in RNAcentral is "bacterial SSU rRNA". It matches the Rfam family "Bacterial small subunit ribosomal RNA", at positions 330 to 792 of the family's 1533-position model. The record is from RNAcentral.
CCCAGACUCCUACGGGAGGCAGCAGUGGGGAAUAUUGCACAAUGGGGGGAACCCUGAUGCAGCGACGCCGCGUGAGUGAAGAAGUAUUUCGGCAUGUAAAGCUCUAUCAGCAGGGAAGAAAAUGACGGUACCUGACUAAGAAGCCCCGGCUAACUACGUGCCAGCAGCCGCGGUAAUACGUAGGGGGCAAGCGUUAUCCGGAUUUACUGGGUGUAAAGGGAGCGCAGACGGCUGUGCAAGUCUGGAGUGAAAGGCGGGGGCCCAACCCCCGGACUGCUCUGGAAACUGUAAAGCUGGAGUGCAGGAGAGGUAAGCGGAAUUCCUAGUGUAGCGGUGAAAUGCGUAGAUAUUAGGAGGAACACCAGUGGCGAAGGCGGCUUACUGGACUGUAACUGACGUUGAGGCUCGAAAGCGUGGGGAGCAAACAGGAUUAGAUACCCUCGUA